Molecule: ribosomal RNA, 407 nt
Filed under: uncultured bacterium
Lineage: Bacteria
Description: partial 16S ribosomal RNA
Rfam family: Bacterial small subunit ribosomal RNA
Source: RNAcentral
AUUGAACGCUGGCGGCAGGCCUAACACAUGCAAGUCGAGCGGAGCGGCGGACGGGUGAGUAAUGCCUAGGCAUCUGACUGGUAGUGGGGGAUAACGUCCGGACACGGGCGCUAAUACCGCAUACUAUCAGAUGAGCCUAGGUCGGAUUAGCUAGUUGGUGGGGUAAAGGCCUACCAAGGCGACGAUCCGUCACUGGUCUGAGAGGAUGAUCAGUCACACUGGAACUGAGACACGGGCCAGACUCAGACGGUAGGCAGCAGUGGAGAAUAUGUGACAAUGGGCGAAAGCCUGAGCCAGCCUGGCCGCGUGUGUGAAGAAGGUCUUCGGAUUGGAAAGCACUUUAAGUUGGGAGGCGUUACCAACAGAAUAAGCACCGGCUAACUUCGUGCCAGACGCCGCGGUAAUUC